Molecule: ribosomal RNA, 1599 nt
Filed under: Triticum aestivum (bread wheat)
Lineage: Eukaryota; Viridiplantae; Streptophyta; Magnoliopsida; Poales; Poaceae
Description: partial small subunit ribosomal RNA
Source: RNAcentral
AUGGGCGGCGGCGAGGGCGGGGCGGGCGGCGAGCCCGCGGCGGGAGCGGCCCCGGCCGCGGCCGCGCAGGCGACGCUGCACAUCCGCGGCACCAGCGGGAACAAGUUCGCGGUGCGGGCCGACCUGGGCGCCACCGUCGGGGAGCUCAAGGCGGUCGUCGCCGGGAGCUGCGACGUGCCCGCGCCGCAGCAGCGGCUGAUCUACAAGGGCCGGAUCUUGAAGGACGACCAAACCCUAGCCAGCUACGGUGUGGAGGCCGAUCACACCAUCCAUAUGGUGCGGGGUGCUGCACCACCAGCAACAUCGGCUGCCCCGGCUGCAGCCAACCUUGGGACUUCAACUACGACUCCUGCGAAUACCCCGCCAGCUGGUCUUGGAGGCUUGUUUCAAGGUCUUGGUAGUACAGGAACUGCUGGCAGUGGAGCUUUUGGUUUAUCUGCCUCUGGCCUUCCAGGAUUAGAGCAGAUGCAACAGCAGUUGACUGAGAAUCCUAACUUAAUGAGAGAAGUAUUGAAUACACCAGCCAUGCAAAACAUAAUGAAUAGCCCUGAUCUAAUACGCGAUUUAAUUAUGAACAAUCCUCAAAUGCGUGAGCUCGUCGACCGUAAUCCGGAUCUGGCACAUGUCCUGAAUGAUCCAAGCAUUCUCCGCCAAACUGUUGAAGCAGCUAGGAAUCCUGAACUUAUGAGAGAGAUGAUGCGGAACACAGACAGAGCCAUGAGCAACAUUGAAUCUUCUCCAGAAGGGUUUAAUAUGCUGCGCCGCAUGUAUGAAACUGUUCAAGAGCCAUUUAUGAAUGCAACAACAAUGGCUGGGGAGGGCGACACAACUCCAAACCCAUUUGCAGCUCUUCUAGGAGACCAGGGGUCUAACCAAGCCAGAGAUCCAACUGGAGAUGCACCAACUACUGCUCCUGCUCCAAAUACCAAUCCACUCCCAAAUCCCUGGGGCGCAAAUGCUGGGGCUGCACAAGGAGCAGCAAGGCCUUCUGCUGCUGCAAGGAGUGCCACAAGCGGUGGCCUAGGAGGGUUGGGUUCUGCAGAUUUGGGAAGUAUGCUGGGUGGUGGCUCUGAUGCUUCCUUAUUGAACCAGGUUAUACAAAACCCUGCCAUGAUGCAAAUGAUGCAAAACAUUAUGUCUAAUCCUCAGACCAUGAAUCAGUUGCUCAACAUGAACCCGAAUGUACGUAACAUGAUGGAAUCAAAUACCCAAAUGAGAGAAAUGUUUCAGAAUCCAGAAUUUCUUCGCCAGUUGACAUCUCCUGAAACAUUGCAGCAAUUAGCUUCAUUCCAGCAGGCAUUGACGUCACAGCUUGGUCAACAAGCUGCUGGCCAGGAGCGGACCCAAGCGGGCACUACUCCAGGCAAUGUUAACCUCAACAGCUUGAUGAGCAUGUUCAGUGGGCUUGGUGCUGGCGGUGGCCUGGGUGGUGUCCCAAAUGUCCCAACUGUGCCACCGGAAGAGCGCUACGCGACGCAGCUAGCUCAGCUCCAAGAAAUGGGUUUCUUUGACCCACAGGAGAACAUCCGGGCGCUGCUGGCUACCAAUGGGAAUGUCCAUGCCGCGGUGGAGCGGCUUCUUGGGAACUUUGGGCAAUAG